CCUGAGAUGCUUGAACCUGCUUGAACCAUAUUGGCAGAAAAUCUACAAAAAAUAUAGUCUGGCCUUCAGGUAUGGGAGAUUUUGUACUGAGCGACUAAUGUGAAGGAUUGAAAGUGACAGAAAACUGAAGAAAGGAUAUGCAAACAACCAGCUCUUCAAAAUGAAGGGGAGAGGAAUAACCUGAAGAGGAAUGAUUUAAAAGAAGCACAGUGACAGAGCAGUCACUAACUGCUAACAGACCAAGGGGUGGUACAGAGAAACAGUUCCCAACCUUCACAUGUGAUCCUGGAAAUUAAAUCCUUGAGGAAGUCUACCUUUUCCCUGCCUGAUCAGCCAACACAAGCGCAGUGUGGUCUGAAGUCAUCUUAGCUUGCUUGUUGCAAAAUGAUAGAUACAUCGGUGUAGUAGUCUCAUCCUGGGGCAAGUGGGACAAUGGGACUCCUGGCAUCAUUUGGGAUUGAUACCUGUAGGGUAUAGCUGCGGUCAAAAAUCAUCAAACCUGUGAACCUGAAAGUCACAGACAGAAAAGUAAGUGGCAGGAUGCAGAAAUUCAGCCACUGUGAUGCCAAAAACCAAAAUAGAUCUUUGAAGGACUGGAGC
RNAcentral lists this long non-coding RNA (600 nucleotides) under Anas platyrhynchos platyrhynchos (common mallard). Its description in RNAcentral is "lncRNA (ENSAPLG00000024930.1)". Lineage: Eukaryota; Metazoa; Chordata; Aves; Anseriformes; Anatidae. The record is from RNAcentral.